Molecule: ribosomal RNA, 478 nt
Filed under: uncultured bacterium
Lineage: Bacteria
Description: partial 16S ribosomal RNA
Rfam family: Bacterial small subunit ribosomal RNA
Source: RNAcentral
GACGAACGCUGGCGGCGUGCUUAACACAUGCAAGUCGAACGGUAAGGCCCUUGGGGGUACACGAGUGGCGAACGGGUGAGUAACACGUGGGUGAUCUGCCCUGCACUUCGGGAUAAGCCUGGGAAACUGGGUCUAAUACCGGAUAGGACUCCGGACUGCAUGGUCUGGGGUGGAAAGCUUUUGCGGUGUGGGAUGGGCCCGGGGCCGAUCAGCUUGUGGGUGGGGUGAUGGUCUAACAAGGCGAAGACGGGUAGCUGGCCUGAGAGGGUGACCGGCCACACUGGGGCUGGGAUACGGCCCAGACUCCUACGGGAGGCAGCAGUGGGGAAUCUUGCACAAUGGGCGCAAGCCUGAUGCAGCGACGCCGCGUGAGGGAUGACGGCCUUCGGGUUGUAAACCUCUUUCAGCAUCGACGAAGCGAAAGUGACGGUAGGUGCAGAAGAAGGACCGGCCAACUACGUGCCAGCCGCCGCCGUAA